AUUGAACGCUGGCGGCAUGCCUUACACAUGCAAGUCGAACGGCAGCACGGGAGCAAUCCUGGUGGCGAGUGGCGAACGGGUGAGUAAUAUAUCGGAACGUGCCCAGUCGUGGGGAUAACGUAGCGAAAGCUACGCUAAUACCGCAUACGAUCUAUGGAUGAAAGCGGGGGAUCGCAAGACCUCGCGCGAUUGGAGCGGCCGAUAUCAGAUUAGGUAGUUGGUGAGGUAAAGGCUCACCAAGCCGACGAUCUGUAGCUGGUCUGAGAGGACGACCAGCCACACUGGGACUGAGACACGGCCCAGACUCCUACGGGAGGCAGCAGUGGGGAAUUUUGGGACAAUGGGCGCAAGCCUGAUCCAGCAAUGCCGCGUGCAGGAUGAAGGCCUCGGUUGU
This 394-nucleotide ribosomal RNA is filed under the name uncultured bacterium. RNAcentral's name for it is "bacterial SSU rRNA". It matches the Rfam family "Bacterial small subunit ribosomal RNA", at positions 30 to 426 of the family's 1533-position model. The record is from RNAcentral.